CAAUAGCGUAUAUUAAAGUUGUUGCGGUUAAAAAGCUCGUAGUUGGAUCUCGGCAGGCAGGGGGUGGUUCGCUCUUAGCGCUACUGCCCCAUUUGCCUGUGUGAUUGGCGGAGGUUUCGGGGUGCUCUUCGUUGAGUGACCCGGGGCGCCGUCAGGUUUACUUUGAAAAAAUUAGAGUGCUCAAAGCAGGCUUUUCACGCUUGAAUAUUCGUGCAUGGAAUAAUGGAAUAGGAACUCGUUUCUAUUUUGUUGGUUUUCGGAAGUCGAGUUAAUGAUUAAUAGGGACAAUUGGGGGCAUUAGUAUUCAGACGACAGAGGUGAAAUUCUUGGACCGUCUGAAGACUAACUACUGCGAAAGCAUUUGCCAAGAGUGUUUUCAUUAA
RNAcentral lists this ribosomal RNA (383 nucleotides) under uncultured eukaryote. RNAcentral describes it as "partial 18S ribosomal RNA". It matches the Rfam family "Eukaryotic small subunit ribosomal RNA", at positions 592 to 976 of the family's 1831-position model. The record is from RNAcentral.